AUGCUAGCUUCAGCAGCACAUAUACUAAAAUUGGAAUGAUACAGAGAAGAUUAGCAUGGCCUCUGCA
Panthera pardus (leopard) is the source of this 67-nucleotide small nuclear RNA. Lineage: Eukaryota; Metazoa; Chordata; Mammalia; Carnivora; Felidae. The record is from Ensembl.